UAGGGAAUCUUCCACAAUGGGCGGCAAGUCUGAUGGAGCAACGCCGCGUGAGUGAAGAAGGUCUUCGGAUCGUAAAACUCUGUUGUUAGAGAAGAACAUGCGAGAGAGUAACUGUUCUUGUAUUGACGGUAUCUAACCAGAAAGCCACGGCUAACUACGUGCUAG
Molecule: ribosomal RNA, 165 nt
Filed under: uncultured bacterium
Lineage: Bacteria
Description: partial 16S rRNA
Rfam family: Bacterial small subunit ribosomal RNA
Source: RNAcentral